GAUCAUGGCUCAGGAUGAACGCUAGCGGCAGGCUUAACACAUGCAAGUCGAGGGGCAGCAUAAUGGAUAGCAAUAUCUAUGGUGGCGACCGGCGCACGGGUGCGUAACGCGUAUGCAACCUACCUUUAACGAGGGGGAUAACACUGAGAAAUUGGUACUAAUACCCCAUAAUAUCAUAGAAGGCAUCUUUUAUGGUUGAAAAUUCCGAUGGUUAGAGAUGGGCAUGCGUUGUUA
This 234-nucleotide ribosomal RNA is filed under the name uncultured bacterium. RNAcentral describes it as "partial 16S ribosomal RNA". It matches the Rfam family "Bacterial small subunit ribosomal RNA", at positions 15 to 241 of the family's 1533-position model. The record is from RNAcentral.